UGUUGUGUUGUGUACAGGGCUU
This 22-nucleotide unclassified non-coding RNA is filed under the name Mus musculus (house mouse). RNAcentral describes it as "oocyte_clustered_small_RNA11813". The record is from RNAcentral. Lineage: Eukaryota; Metazoa; Chordata; Mammalia; Rodentia; Muridae.